AUGAGGACUCCACGGGUUCCGACGCCCCCUCGGGGGUGGGGACACCUGUCUCAACUGA
This 58-nucleotide small nucleolar RNA is filed under the name Aeropyrum pernix K1. RNAcentral's name for it is "APEsR22". Lineage: Archaea; Thermoproteati; Thermoproteota; Thermoprotei; Acidilobales; Acidilobaceae. The record is from RNAcentral.